GGCCUUGACAUACUAAGAACUUUCCAGAGAUGGAUUGGUGCCUUCGGGAACUUAGAUACAGGUGCUGCAGUGGCUGUCGUCAGCUCGUGUCGUGAGAUGUUGGGUUAAGUCCCGNAACGAGCGCAACCCUUUUCCUUAUUUGCCAGCGGGUCAUGCCGGGAACUUUAAGGAUACUGCCAGUGACAAACUGGAGGAAGGCGGGGACGACGUCAAGUCAUCAUGGCCCUUACGGCCAGGGCUACACACGUGCUACAAUGGUCGGUACAAAGGGUUGCUACCUCGCGAGAGGAUGCUAAUCUCAAAAAGCCGAUCGUAGUCCGGAUCGCAGUCUGCAACUCGACUGCGUGAAGUCGGAAUCGCUAGUAAUCGCGGAUCAGAAUGCCGCGGUGAAUACGUUCCCGGGCCUUGUACACACCGCCCGUCACACCAUGGGAGUUUGUUGCACCAGAAGUAGGUAGUCUAACCGCAAGGAGGACGCUUACCACGGUGUGGCCGAUGACUGGGGUGAAGUCGUAACAAGGUAAGCGUAGAUGA
Molecule: ribosomal RNA, 534 nt
Filed under: uncultured bacterium
Lineage: Bacteria
Description: bacterial SSU rRNA
Rfam family: Bacterial small subunit ribosomal RNA
Source: RNAcentral